UACGGAGGGUGCAAGCGUUAAUCGGAAUUACUGGGCGUAAAGCGUGCGCAGGCGGCUUUGCAAGACAGAUGUGAAAUCCCCGGGCUCAACCUGGGAACUGCAUUUGUGACUGCAAGGCUAGAGUACGGCAGAGGGGGAUGGAAUUCCGCGUGUAGCAGUGAAAUGCGUAGAUAUGCGGAGGAACACCAAUGGCGAAGGCAAUCCCCUGGGCCUGUACUGACGCUCA
This 226-nucleotide ribosomal RNA is filed under the name uncultured bacterium. RNAcentral's name for it is "partial 16S ribosomal RNA". It matches the Rfam family "Bacterial small subunit ribosomal RNA", at positions 524 to 749 of the family's 1533-position model. The record is from RNAcentral.